AAAAUUACCGGGGCUAAGCUAUACACCGAAAUUGCGGAUUUACACUUGAAAGAUAGUGUAAGUGGUAGAGGAGCAUUCUGUAGUAGGGAGAAGCAAAAGCGAGAGCAUUUGUGGACGAGGCAGAAGAGAGAAUGCUGGAAUAAGUAGCGAGAGCAAGGUGAGAAUCCUUGCCGUCGAAAGUCUAAGGUUUCCUGGGGAAGGUUCGUCCGCCCAGGGUAAGUCGGGACCUAAGGUGAGGCUGAAAAGCGUAGCCGAUGGAUAGCAGGUUGAGAUUCCUGCACUAUAGAUAUACUUAAAAGAUGCAAGGGACGCAGGAGUGGAAGAUAAGCGAGGAAGAGGAAAGACUCGUAUCGCAAGAUAUAGUGAAAAUAAAGUAACGAAUUAUCAAGAAGCACACUGACGAGAAAAGCUUGUAGAUAUUGUAUAUAAAUACCCGUACCGCAAACCGACACAGGUAGAUGAGGAGAGGAUCCUAAGACGAGCGGGAGAAGCAUUGUUAAGGAACUCGGCAAAUUGACCCCGUAACUUAGGGAGAAGGGGUGCCAAGGUAGAACUUGGCCGCAGUGAAGAGGUUCAAGCAACUGUUUAACAAAAACACAGGUUUCUGCUAAAUCGAAAGAUGAAGUAUAGGAGCUGACGCCUGCCCAGUGCUGGAAGGUCAAAGGGAAGUGUUAGUAAAAACUUACGAAGCACAGAACUCAAGCCCCAGUGAACGGCGGCCGUAACUAUAACGGUCCUAAGGUAGCGAAAUUCCUUGUCAGGUAAGUUCUGACCCGCACGAAAGGCGUAAUGAUUUGAACACUGUCUCGACAAUGUACCCGGCGAAAUUGUAGUACUAGUGAAGAUGCUAGUUACCUGCGACAAGACAGAAAGACCCCAUGGAGCUUUACUGCAGCUUGAUACUGGGUUUUGGUAAUUUAUGUACAGGAUAGGUGGGAUACGAAGAAGCAAGUGCGCCAGCAUUUGUGGAGUAGACGUUGGGAUACCACUCUUAAAUUAUUGAAAUUCUAACCUGUGAUCAUGAACUGGUCAGGGGACAAUGUCAGGCGGGCAGUUUGACUGGGGCGGUCGCCUCCUAAAGAGUAACGGAGGCGCCCAAAGGUUUCCUCAGCACGGACAGAAAUCGUGCAAAAGAGUGUAAAGGCAGAAGGAAGCUUAACUGGGAGACUGACAAGUCGAGCAGAUACGAAAGUAGGGCUUAGUGAUCCGGCGGUAGUGAGUGGAAAUGCCGUCGCUCAACGGACAAAAGUUACCCUGGGGAUAACAGGCUUA
Molecule: ribosomal RNA, 1272 nt
Filed under: human gut metagenome
Description: bacterial LSU rRNA
Rfam family: Bacterial large subunit ribosomal RNA
Source: RNAcentral